CGGCACCUCAAGUGGUCAGGAUGAUUAUUGGGCCUAAAGCAUCCGUAGCCGGCGCUGUAAGUUUUCGGUUAAAUCUGUACGCUCAACGUACAGGCUGCCGGGAAUACUGCAGCGCUAGGGAGUGGGAGAGGUAAACGGUACUCGGUAGGAAGGGGUAAAAUCCUUUGAUCUAUUGAUGACCACCUGUGGCGAAGGCGGUCUACCAGAACACGUCCGACGGUGAGGGAUGAAAGCUGGGGGAGCAAACCGGAUUAGAUACCCGAGUAGUCC
Molecule: ribosomal RNA, 270 nt
Filed under: uncultured archaeon
Lineage: Archaea
Description: partial 16S ribosomal RNA
Rfam family: Archaeal small subunit ribosomal RNA
Source: RNAcentral